Molecule: non-coding RNA, 3485 nt
Organism: Prunus avium (sweet cherry)
Lineage: Eukaryota; Viridiplantae; Streptophyta; Magnoliopsida; Rosales; Rosaceae
Source: RefSeq, a predicted model, not a curated record
GGACCACCUUCCACUCACAAAGAAGCCAUUGCAGAUAUCAGAAGAUCAGUAAAAAAGUAGCUAUGGAUCAUCAAGAGACUAGUGUGAAAAUGGAGGGAGUUGUUGCCGGUAGAAGCUUAAUUGAUUUAGUCUUCUCUUGGUCUAUGGAGGAUGUUCUCAACAGAAAUCUUUGCAAAAACCAGGUGACGAAAAUUCCUGAGACAUUUUCGACCGUGACGAGUUACAUGAAAACGUUCAUUCCUUCACUUGUUGAGGAAACACAUGCUGAUUUACUCUCAAGCAUAGAGACUCUGUCACAGGAACACCCGGGGCAUUGGUGUUGCACAGUUCACUCCCUUGCGAGUAAAAAGACCUCAACAGCUACUUGUGAAAUUCUGGCUGUUAUAACUUCUAAGGGUCAUAACCCUCCCAAGGACUUGUUUUACGAUAUUAUAAUUAAUGGCAAGGGAGAAGCUGAAAAUCAUGCAGGAAAAUAUGAGCCGCAGGCUGGAGAUAUUAUUGCCUUGACUGAUAUCAGACCAAAAUGCACUGAUCAUUUAAAAGGGCCCGGAGAUUCAUAUCUCAUUGCGUAUGUUCUUCGAGGCAGAGAUAAUCAGUUCUCAAUACUCUCAUCAAAGCCUAUCAAUAAAGGAAAAGAAAGACUUCUUGCUGUCUAUCUAAUCAACAUGACAACAAGCGUUCGCGUAUGGAGUGCUUUGAACUCAGAAAGGGCAAGCACAGGUUUAAUUAAGAAUGUGCUGCAGGUGCAACCCAAUUCAUCACAUGGUGGGAACUCUUGUGCAAUUUGCAUUUCUAAAGAAAAAUGCUCCCCUGCCCUUUCUACUAAAUGGCCCUCAAUGUUCUCUGAUCUCAAUGAUUCCCAACAAGCUGCAGUUUUGAACUGUAUCAGUUUGAGUAAAUGUACUCACCAUAAUGCCAUCAACCUAAUAUGGGGUCCUCCUGGGACUGGAAAAACCGACACAGUUGCUAUGUCACUCUUUGCCCUCUUGAAGUUGAAGUGCAGAACGCUAACAUGUGCCCCAACGAAUAUUUCCGUGUUUCAAGUCACAGAGCGACUCCUGGGAUUGGUUAACCAGUCUCUUGAUUAUGGCAAGUAUGGAAUUGGAGAUUUAAUUCUAUUUGGGAAUGAAGAGCGAAUGAAGAUUGAUAAUUAUGAUGACCUUGUUGAGGUAUUUCUUGAUUAUCGUACUGAAAUUCUGGCCAAGUGCUUUGACCCUUUGACUGGAUGGAAACAUUGGUUGGAAUCAAUGAUAGGUUUGCUUGAGGAUCCAAAGGGAAAGCACUUGUUGUAUUUGAAAGAAAUAAGGAGAAGCAGAUACAAUUAGGAUGGAAAAGAUAGCGAUAAUCUUUUGAUGAGGAUGAAGAGAGUUAUAGUCAAUGAUAGGAAGUCAACAAGGGAUGAUGUGAAUGAUUUUCUAACCUUUGAGGAGUUUGUGAAGGAAAAACUUAAUUCAAUUGGUGAGCAACUGAAGAUUUGCAUGGUAAAUUUGUACACCCACUUACCAACUUCUUGCAUUUCACUAGAGGUUGUGAAGGGCAUGAUUAGAGCUUUGGAUUUGCUCAGUUCUCUUAAAUCUUUACUGCAUGAGGUCGGUUUUGCUAGUGAGAGGUCACAAUUAGUUCUAAAAGAUUGUGUUCAUACACUGACGUUGCUUCUUGGAUUUUCUGUUCCUAAUUUGGAAGAUUUCAAGACAAUAAGGACAUGGUGCUUGGCAAAUGCUUGCUUAAUAUUUUGCACCGCGUCAGGCUCUGCUAAAUUGUACACAGAGGGAAUGACACCCCUGGAUUUGUUAGUGAUUGAUGAAGCUGCUCAGCUUAAAGAAUGUGAAUCAGCAAUUCCUUUACAACUACCGGGUCUUCGCCAUGCUAUUCUCAUAGGAGAUGAGAAGCAACUCCCUGCUAUGGUUAAAAGCAAGAUCUCCAAGCAGGCUGGUUUCGGAAGAAGUUUGUUUGGAAGACUUGUACUGUUGGGACAUGAGAGGCACCUUCUCAAUAUCCAGUAUAGAAUGCAUCCAUCAAUCAGCUUAUUCCCGAAAAGAGAGUUUUACAACAACCAGAUAUUAGACGGUCCAAAUAUCAAGCAAGGAAGCCAUGAGAAGUGCUUUCUUUCAGGAAAAAUGUACGGACCCUACUCCUUUAUAGAUAUAGCCAAUGGAAAAGAAGAUUACGAUCGUGGGCAUAGUCUUAAAAAUAUGGUUGAGGUUGCUGUGGUCUGUGAGAUUGUUGCAAGCCUUUACAGAGAAUUUACUCAAACAAAGAAGAGAGUUAGUAUUGGGGUAAUUUCACCUUACAAAGCUCAAGUUAAUGCAAUUCAAGAGAGAGUCAGAGAACAUAGUGAAGCUUCUGGCACUGACUUCUCUGUAAGAGUGCGAUCUGUUGAUGGAUUCCAAGGUGGUGAAGAUGAUGUGAUAAUUAUCUCCACAGUCAGAUGUAACGAGAAAGGCUCUGUCGGUUUCCUCUCCAAUCUUGAAAGGGCAAACGUGAUGCUAACGCGUGCAAGGUACUGUCUGUGGAUUUUGGGGAACGAAGCAACUUUGAUUAGCAGUAACUCUAUUUGGAAGAAGCUAAUUCUUGAUGCAAAGAAACGCAAAUGUUUUUAUAAUGCUCAUGAUGAUAAGGACUUGGCUCAGGCCAUUGCAACAGCCCUCAUGGACCUUGGCCAACUGCAUAUUCUACUCAAUGCUGAUUCUCUGCUGUUCAAAAAUGCCAAAUGGAAGGUGUGCUUCACGAAUGAAUUUCAGAGUUCCAUAGAAAAGAUUAAAGACACUGAGGUCCGUCGGGAAGUGAUUUCCUUGUUAACAAAGCUCUCUAAUGGUUGGCGCCAAUCUGACAAGGAUAAAGGAGUUAUGGUCCAUGGUGGGACUUGUGCUAAACUCUUAGAGAAGUAUGAAGUCAAAGGGCAGCUCAACCUCAUGUGGUCUGUAGAUGUUGUCCAGGAGAACUCAGAUUAUGUCCAGGUUUUGAAGAUUUGGGAUGUUCUUCCAAUUUCUGAUGCUCCCGAACUUGAGAAGCGGCUUGAGAUCAUGUUUUGUAGCUAUACAACCGAUAAUAUGAACCUCUGCAUGCUCAGAUGUGUUGAUGGUGACGCAGUUGUUCCGAUUAGAUUGCCGGUGAAUUCGAGCAGCUCCCAUGAGGCUAAGGCUGAGGCUGAUCCUGUUCCUGUGGAGGUUCUUUCAAAGCCAUUGUCUUCACUCUGUCUUAACGGAUAAGCCACAAACAUCAAGCAAUAGAAAGAAUAAUAAUAGGUCCAGAUGGAGAUAAAUAAGGCCACCUGGUUGAAGAGGAAAGAACCACCAUCAACAAUAUAUGUUGAUCUUGAAGGUUGCGGCCAUUUUUACACGUCAUGAAGGUUGCGCUUGCGGCCAUUACUGUUGUAUUAAUAAUUGGCACAAAUUAAUGUGCUAAUCAUCCAAUUAAAAAUACCCGCAAAUGUAUGCAUUUAUUGGAGUAUAGAUUUGUAAAUACGGGAUCAUUCCCACGGGGAA